CCAGGACACAAAUAAUCCACCUGUUACACGAGGACAUAACCAGUGCCCUGUCCUGGUCAUGCUAAAUGCUGUGACACGCGGACUCAGACAGCCAUCAGGAAGUUUAGAUCUGACUCGACGUGCCAGUGGAUGGAGGCCCAAAGUCAGAGGUUGACUCUUUCAUCAUCAUUAUGAACAAGCUUUAUUAAAGAUUAUGAAUUCAGUUUCCAAGGGAGUUAUAAAUGGUUUUCUACAGAGAGAUUAUUUACUUGGUUUGUUGUUUUCACAGAUAAUAUGUGUUUUGACCCAUUGGGGUUAUGUAGCUCAUGUAUUAAAAUUGGAAGUUUAUUCUGUUGUUCUUAACAUCUGUGACCUGCAAUGUUUGAUUUGAUCUCUGAA
Canis lupus familiaris (dog) is the source of this 378-nucleotide long non-coding RNA. RefSeq lists it as uncharacterized. The record is from RefSeq and is a predicted model, not a curated record. NCBI's taxonomy places the organism in Eukaryota, Metazoa, Chordata, Mammalia, Carnivora, Canidae. The transcript has 2 exons.